UUGAAAGGGAAACGAUUGAAGUCAGUCAUGUUGGUAGGGAAUCAACUUGAUGGUUUGCGGGUUUACUCGUGUUCUUUCGAGUGCACUUCCUUACUUGCUAGUUAGCAUCAAUUUUGGUUAUCAUAUAAAAAUUGAGGGAAGGUGGCUUUUCUUCGGAAAAGUGUUAUAGACCUUGAUUAAUGUGCGUGACCGGGAUUGAGGAUUGCAGCGGAUACCCUUAAGGGCUAGUCACCUGGCUUCUGAUGGUUACCCCGUCUUCGAUAGCUUGCUAACGUUGAUGGGAUUUAAUUGUCUAGAUGUUGGACUGAUCAUAAAUUCGUUAAGGAUGUUGACGUA
This 336-nucleotide ribosomal RNA is filed under the name uncultured Acaulospora. RNAcentral describes it as "partial large subunit ribosomal RNA". The record is from RNAcentral. Lineage: Eukaryota; Fungi; Glomeromycota; Glomeromycetes; Diversisporales; Acaulosporaceae.